This 664-nucleotide long non-coding RNA is filed under the name Coturnix japonica (Japanese quail). RNAcentral describes it as "lncRNA (ENSCJPG00005013281.1)". The record is from RNAcentral. Lineage: Eukaryota; Metazoa; Chordata; Aves; Galliformes; Phasianidae.
UAAUGUUCAAACAAUCUUUGUUCACAGAAAAGUAGCUAUUACCAUGUACCACUACACUGACUGUUGACCACCUGGCUUCCUGGCCUCUGUAUGAACAAGACAGCUUAGCCAAGAACAGUAUAACUUUAGCCAAAGUCACAAAAUUAACUAGUAAAAUAAUAAAGUUUGCCAAACUUGGUAGAAUAGUAUAGUCCUAAUUUUUGAUCUGGCUCUGCCAGUCAGGAUUUUUUCCCACUCGCUUCUAAUCAGUUUAAAUUGUGGGUGAUUUGUAUCCCCCAUAAAAACUAAUUGCAUGUUAUUAUAACUAGAGUUGUGUGCUCUAGAGAGAUUGAGGAAAUGGAUCAUUGAGGAUUGAGCUACUCUACAGAUGGGCCAGCUUUACAGAUGGUACAGCAAACAGAGGGCUGCAAACCAAGCUGUACCUGAGCUGGGAGCAGCCUGACCCUGGCAUAGGGACGUUGGUGCUGAAAAGUCACGGUGCAGUCAUUGGCAAGGCACAUCUCAGAACAGCUCUGCAAUCUCUGUCUACUUAUCCAUCAGCAAGAUCUGUAAGAUGCUGCCAGGUUGGCAAAAGCCAUGAUUGGUGGGACAAACGUGUGCCUUGAAAAGGAUAUACGUUUUUUGGAGAAACAACCAAAUAAACCAGGCUUGCCUACGGAAUAUU